ACAGUACUCAUGUAGAGCCUGUUACCUUGACAGCUGGGGAAAGUCUCAAAAUGGGCCUGCUGUGGCUUCUCCAUGGCCCUUUGGUGGUGAUUAACAAGUGCUGUUGAAAGAAUUGAGGUGUCGGAGCUUUUGGUGCAGGCGGGGCUUUUGGUGCGGGCUGGAUUUUUGGUAAUUUUCAGAUUCUGAGAUGUCAGAAGUGUAGCAUGCCCUUUUCCAUUUUUUGGAAAUGUUGUCAAAUGAUGCUGGAAUUAUCAAAAAUUCUGGCCUGAUGCUUGGUCCAACCCUUAUCUGGCUGUGGUGCCUCCAUCAACCUGACGCUCUUUAGUAACCGGUCCAAGUCUUUGUAUGGAGGCCACCAUGAGUGGCCAUCUG
Carassius carassius (crucian carp) is the source of this 372-nucleotide long non-coding RNA. RefSeq lists it as uncharacterized. NCBI's taxonomy places the organism in Eukaryota, Metazoa, Chordata, Actinopteri, Cypriniformes, Cyprinidae. The record is from RefSeq and is a predicted model, not a curated record. The transcript is spliced from 4 exons.